GAUGAACGCUGGCGGCGUGCCUAAUACAUGCAAGUCGAGCGAACAGACGAGGAGCUUGCUCCUCUGACGUUAGCGGCGGACGGGUGAGUAACACGUGGAUAACCUACCUAUAAGACUGGGAUAACUUCGGGAAACCGGAGCUAAUACCGGAUAAUAUAUUGAACCGCAUGGUUCAAUAGUGAAAGACGGUUUUGCUGUCACUUAUAGAUGGAUCCGCGCCGCAUUAGCUAGUUGGUAAGGUAACGGCUUACCAAGGCAACGAUGCGUAGCCGACCUGAGAGGGUGAUCCGCCACACUGGAAGUGAGACACGGUCCAGACUCCUACAGGAGGCAGCGGUAGGGAAUCUUCCGCAAUGGGCGAAAGCCUGACGGAGCAACGCCGCGUGAGUGAUGAAGGUCUUCGGAUCGUAAAACUCUGUUAUUAGGGAAGAACAAAUGUGUAAGUAACUAUGCACGUCUUGACGGUACCUAAUCAGAAAGCCACGGCUAACUACGUG
RNAcentral lists this ribosomal RNA (497 nucleotides) under uncultured bacterium. RNAcentral's name for it is "partial 16S ribosomal RNA". It matches the Rfam family "Bacterial small subunit ribosomal RNA", at positions 28 to 507 of the family's 1533-position model. The record is from RNAcentral.